This 253-nucleotide ribosomal RNA is filed under the name uncultured bacterium. Its description in RNAcentral is "partial 16S ribosomal RNA". It matches the Rfam family "Bacterial small subunit ribosomal RNA", at positions 524 to 776 of the family's 1533-position model. The record is from RNAcentral.
UACGUAGGGACCGAGCGUUGUCCGGAUUCAUUGGGCGUAAAGAGCUCGUAGGCGGCUGUUCAAGUCGAACGUGAAAACUCGGAGCUCAACUCCGAGCCUGCGUUCGAUACUGGACGGCUAGAGUCUGGUAGGGGGAUCUGGAAUUCCUGGUGUAGCGGUGAAAUGCGUAGAUAUCGGAAGGAACAUCAGUGGCGAAAGCGACUUCCUGGACCAAUACUGACGCUCAUGUGCGAAAGCGUGGGGAGCAAACAGG